Molecule: long non-coding RNA, 1893 nt
Organism: Haemorhous mexicanus (house finch)
Lineage: Eukaryota; Metazoa; Chordata; Aves; Passeriformes; Fringillidae
Exons: 4
Source: RefSeq, a predicted model, not a curated record
GGAAUAUUUAUGUUGCCCCUGAGUAUUCAGGAGGAGAGCCUGUGGACAGAGCUGCAGCAGAGGGAGCUUUACCUGGCACCAAGAGCUGCAGGAACAAUUGCCAGGAGCCUGAGGAGCUUGACAUCCACCUGAUCUACCUUGCCAGGAGGGCUGCCCUGCAUGGGAAGAAGGAUCAGAGGGAGAGCCUGUGACCAUCGGGCAGGUGGAAUCCCUCCAUUUCUAUAUAGAUUUAUAAAUUUCUAUAAUUCUAUUUAUAUAUCCAUAUAGUUACAUUUAUAGAUUUGUACAGUCCUAUUUAUAUAUCCGCAUAGUUAUAUUUAUGGAUUUAUCGAUGUGUGUUAACAUCUGCAUAUAUAUAUAUACAUCUAUAUAGUUAAAUCUGUAUAUAUCAUUAUAGAUGGGGUGUAAUUGUAUUUGUAGGUAUGUAGUUACAUUUAUAGAUUUUCAAGUGUACAUUUAUAUAUGUAUAGAGUAAUAUAUAUAUAUUUAUAUAUUUAUAUUUAUAAAUCUGGAUUUUUACGUAGUUAGAAGUAUAUGGAUUUUAAAUGGAUAGGCUCUUGUUGGUGUAGGCCUAGGCUGCAUUUUUACCCCUUUUUCCCUCGGCUGCCUUUCUCACCUCUUGCUUUUCCCCCUGUGCCCCCUGUGUCCCCUCUCCCUGUGCUGGGUCCGAGCUGGCGGCCGGGCCGGCCGGAUCAGCACUUCCAGCCCCGGCUGUCCCUGGAGCGGUGGGAGCUGCCGCUGGCCCCAGGCACUGUCCCCUGAGGAGCUGCUGAAGGACGCUGCAAGGAAGAUCUUGAGGACAGCCGGAGACUGACAGGAGCCAGCAGGGAGAAGCUGAAGGCCAGCAGCAGGAGCAGGGAACGGGGACCUGCUGCUGCCAGCCUGGAGAGAGCUCGGAUGUCCCAUCUGCUGUCCCUGUCCAGGAGAGCUGCUCUGCACGGGAGGCGGAGACCAAGGAAGAGGCUUUGAAGGUGGGGCAGCUGGGAUCCCUCUUCUUGGAGCUCUAUUUAAAGAAGUCUGGACUUGCACAUAGAGAGGGAUUAUUAUAUGGAUAUGUUCAUGUGUAGGCUUCUUUUUGUAUAGGAAUAUUUCUAUAUAUUUGUUUUUGUAUUUAUUGAUGUAUUAUAUAAAUGUAUGCAUAUAUAUACAUAUAUGUUUGUAAUUACAUGUAUGUAUAUAUUUGUAUCUAAGUAUACAUGUAUGUUGUUAUAUCUGUGUUUAGUUGUAUUUCCUAGUUUUACAGCUGUUCAGUUAUCUGUAUUGAUGCAGUUAUAGGUAUAUGUCUCUUUAAAUCUCUGUAUUGGAAGUUGUACUGGUUGAUAUGUCUCUUUUAAUAUUUUUUAAUGUUUAUUGAUCUAUUUCUGUCUAUAUAAUAAUAUUUACAUAUGUAUCUAGAUGUAAAGCUGUAUAUUUGUACUGAUAUAGUUGGGUGUAUAUUUAGAUUGGUGAUAUUUGUAUAUUUAUAGAUAGGUUUUGAUUUAUAUAUUUACUUAUAUAUAUAUAUUGUAUGUAAUAUGUAAUAUGCGAUGCUUAAUUUAUAUUUACAUCUGUAGAUUGUUAUAUUUGUAUAUGUAUUUAUAUAUAUGUUCAUAUAUGUAUGUAUUUAAUUCCAUUUCAACAUGUGUGGAGUGGUAUAGUUGUAUAAUUCUCUAUACUGAAUUCUUAGUGUAGGUCUGUUUAGAGAGGGAAUGGUAUUGUUGUGUUUCUGUAUGGGCUGUACGUUUGUAGUAAUAGGUAAUAAAUUAAGUCCUUAAACACCUAAUUGAUCUUUGUGUAUAGUGAGUUGUUGUAGAGGUUGGCAAUAAAUAAGUUUUUCUUAUCUGAAGUUGGUAUUUGUAUAUUUUUAUACUGACUGGUUGUAAUAAUCUAAUAAAUUCCUGGUUUUACCCUAAA